RNAcentral lists this ribosomal RNA (497 nucleotides) under uncultured bacterium. RNAcentral describes it as "partial 16S ribosomal RNA". It matches the Rfam family "Bacterial small subunit ribosomal RNA", at positions 28 to 507 of the family's 1533-position model. The record is from RNAcentral.
GAUGAACGCUGGCGGCGUGCCUAAUACAUGCAAGUCGAGCGAACGGACGAGACGCUUGCUUCUUUGAUGUUAGCCGCGGACGGGUGAGUAACACGUGGAUAACCUACCUAUAAGACUGGGAUAACUUCGGGAAACCGGAGCUUAUCCCGGAUAAUAUUUUGCACCGCAUGGUUCAAAAGUGAAAGACGGUCUUUGUGUAACUAAUAGAUGGAUACGGGCUGCAUUAGCUAGUUGGUAAGGUAACGGCUUACCAAGGCAACGAUGCAUAGCCGACCGGAGAGGGGGAUAGGCCACACUGGAACUGAGACACGGUCCAGACUCCUACGGGAGGCAGCAGUAGGGAAUCUGCCGCAAUGGGCGAAAGCCUGACGGAGCAACGCCGCGUGAGUGAUGAAGGUCUUCGGAGCGUAAAACUCUGUUAUGAGGGAAGAACAUAUGUGUAAGUAACUGUGCACAUCGUGACGGUACCUAAUCAGAAAGCCACGGCUAACUACGUG